GGCUACUGGUGAAAUAUCACACUGCNCUUGUCAAGGCAGAAUUGUGGGUUAAAACCCCGCGUAGCCU
This 67-nucleotide transfer RNA is filed under the name Gadus morhua (Atlantic cod). Its description in RNAcentral is "tRNA-Asp". It matches the Rfam family "tRNA". Rfam says of the family: Transfer RNA (tRNA) molecules are approximately 80 nucleotides in length. The record is from RNAcentral. Lineage: Eukaryota; Metazoa; Chordata; Actinopteri; Gadiformes; Gadidae.